CGGGAUGUAGUGUAAUGGUAGCACGAGUCCUUCGGGAGGAUUUAGUCCGGGUUCGAAUCCCGGCAUCCCGACCA
This 74-nucleotide transfer RNA is filed under the name Patescibacteria group bacterium. RNAcentral's name for it is "tRNA-Pro". It matches the Rfam family "tRNA". Rfam says of the family: Transfer RNA (tRNA) molecules are approximately 80 nucleotides in length. Their secondary structure includes four short double-helical elements and three loops (D, anti-codon, and T loops). Further hydrogen bonds mediate the characteristic L-shaped molecular structure. tRNAs have two regions of fundamental functional importance: the anti-codon, which is responsible for specific mRNA codon recognition, and the 3' end, to which the tRNAs corresponding amino acid is attached (by aminoacyl-tRNA synthetases). tRNAs cope with the degeneracy of the genetic code in two manners: having more than one tRNA (with a specific anti-codon) for a particular amino acid; and 'wobble' base-pairing, i.e. permitting non-standard base-pairing at the 3rd anti-codon position. The record is from RNAcentral.